UCUUGGCAGGGCCAGGGAGUGCCAAAUGAUCCUCAGGUUUGUUACUAAGAGUCGUCCUGCAAAAAACGGUGGACAUUAUGAGUCAUUAAGUCUCUGAUCUGCCAAACACUAGUUGCCGAGAAGGUGUGAACCUCCAAGACAGCUACCUCGAUCUCCGUUGUUUCCUUUGGUGUCUUCUAUGGAGUCCAGGCAAUCUAUCAGCACCUCUCCUGGACGAGUUUUCAUCUGCCUGUGAACAGCGACACAUUUAUUGACUGAAAGCCUCCAUACCAAAACUGUGCACAGGCAUUGGCCUGCUUGUCAUAGUACCAGCGGAUGCUAUAGUCUCGGCAGUUGCCUUGGUCCAGGCUGAAGUUACAGCGGGGAUCGAGAAGAGGGGCUUUGGAAGAAGAAAUGUGUCCCAGUAAGACGUAACAGUGUGACAGUGAGCCAGCAUGAACAAUGUCAAGACCCUGAAACUGAAGGAGCUAAACAGAAUCCAGCCCGUGCCAUGUCAAAAUGUUCUCUGUAAUAAAAGUCAAUUCAGCAGGAGUGCAACACUCACCUUCAGGAAGGACUGGACUCAACACUGGCUGCAGCUGAUUAGAGUUUAAGGAUGAAACUGAACCCUGUGUGGACGAAGCUGUUGCAGAUGAGGAUGAAGAUGAAGAAGAUAGUGAAGACGAUAAGACUGCAUCAUUGGAGACAGAGCUUUCUCUCACAGGCGAUAACGAUGUUGCUUUGUUAACUAUAGCCACAUUGCUACUGCCCUGCACAUGGGCUCUGAUGUCUAAAUCUUCACCAUCAUCAUCGUCCACCACCUAGAAUAUAGAAUAGAAGAUGAAAACAUACAAAUUAAUCAGUGAGAUUAGAGUAGAGAAGUUAGUAUAUUUUAAGUAAAACAACAUAGAAGUCUUUUCAGAAAAGACCUGAACAGGGAGAGGAUCAGCACUGAUGGGCAGUGUGAAAGUGUCUCCACGGCCUCGGCUGUUGGUGCGUCGUUGAUUUUGGAUCUCCUCUUGGUAAUUGUAACUGUUCCCGGUGUUCCCAUAUCCAUUGUUUCCAUAAUCAUAAGAAUGACCAUUAUUACCAUAGCCAUUAUAUCCAUUGGUAUUCUCUCCAUGUCCAUUGUUUCCAUUAAUACCAUGCCGAUGCCCACUGUUGCCGUUCCAGUGUCCAUUUGUGAUGCGAUUGUAAAUAAGGGCACCAUUUUCAUCUUCACAGAACUGACUGACGAGUUUAGACUCCAGUGCUGAAAAAAGAAAUCAAGAAACCAGUUAAUCUAGGCACUUUACAGCCUGUCAGCUGACAACGAUUAACUAUAUAUUUUAAUGAACACACUGCUGAAGGGAUGAUAUUUACAACAUUAGACUGUGAUUAUAACCUGGUAGUGUGUUGAAAUCAUCAAUAAGGUACAUGUGUUCACUGUCGGGGUCAGAGGCAAUGAGGUUGAGUUCUCGCAGGAACUCAGCCUGCGUAGGAUCAGACGAAUUGACAAUCCCCAGGGCGUACAUCUCAAUGUUUGCAGCAUGAGCCUCCCUCACAGCUAUGUCAAGUUUGACAGGCUCCCGUUUGUCAGUCUGACCAUCAGUGAUGACAAUGGCUACUUUUCUGACUCCAGGCCGAGCACUAAAGAAAGCCUCCUGAGUCGCCUUUCUGAUUGCAGUGCCAGUAUAGGUGCCCUCCC
This is a long non-coding RNA of Xiphias gladius (swordfish), 1666 nucleotides long. RefSeq lists it as uncharacterized. The record is from RefSeq and is a predicted model, not a curated record. The transcript has 3 exons. NCBI's taxonomy places the organism in Eukaryota, Metazoa, Chordata, Actinopteri, Istiophoriformes, Xiphiidae.